Triticum urartu is the source of this 135-nucleotide non-coding RNA. NCBI's taxonomy places the organism in Eukaryota, Viridiplantae, Streptophyta, Magnoliopsida, Poales, Poaceae. The record is from Rfam.
CUCAUACUCCCUCCGUUCGGAAAUAUUUGUCAUCAAAAUGGAUAAAAGAGGAUGUAUCUAGAUGUAUUUUAGUUCUAGAUACAUCUCUUUUUAUCCGUUUUAAUGACAAGUAUUUUCGGACAAAGGAAAUAUAUG